AAGAGUCCUUGCUGUGAUUCAGGUGACAGUCAGUGACGGCCUAGACCAUGAUGGGAGACAGACCACAGGAAAGGUUCCAGCUAUACUUAGAAGGCAGAACACACACAACUUGGUGAUUGAUUGGCCAGGAGACUGAAGGAGAAGGAGAGGCUGAGAUGAUGCCUGGGGUAUGGCCCAGAGUGGUGGAGAAUUUACUGAGACCAGCACACAAGAGAAAAAGAUUAUGGGGACUGGGCACGAGAACAGUUUUGGAGAGAUUGGACUUACGAGUUUACAGGGCACAGCCAGGUGGAGAUGCUUCAGGAAGAGUCUGCAGCAAGUGUGCGAGUUUCUGCGCUUUUCCUCUACCCCUCAGCCCAGGGAGAAGAGAAUAAACCAUUAGGUUAUCAGCUGAGCAGUGCCCCGAGCCUAAUGCUUUUUCCCAGUGGAAGCUCCAGGCUUCAAGCUAUCUCUCUAGUGCCUAAGGCCAACAUGGAACAAUAGAAAUUCAAUGUACCAGUUGGCUGAUGUAAGUGACUAAAGCUGUUUGAGGACUAAAGCUUAUAUGGAAUUAUAUUCAAUACCAUUUGAAGAAAUGAGAAACCGUUGAAACUCCUUCUUAAGAGUCUCCAGGAGAUAAUCAUUAUGUAAGUCUUACCCUCCAAAUCCAAGCAAGAGGUGGUAUUAUUUCUACCAUGAGGAGACACGCAGAGAAGACAAUUGGGUCCUGGAUCUCCAUCUUUCCAUGCCCCAUCCCACCACUCUAGAUCUAGUAAGUAAAAUUAGACUGAUAUAGUAUGUGUGUUGGGGGCACGGGAGAUAGGUGUCAUUUAAUUUUCAUGACUAAAACACAGAAAUUUUGAACUUGAGAGCAGAAUAAUGUUCUCUAAAAUAAACAGAACAGGAAUGCUGAAUGGUGAACAGCCUCAUGGAACUCCAGGAAUAGCAGGGACAGGCUGUUCUGUGCUGAUGGUUCUUGAACCAGUGUUUUUAACACCCAGCGACGUUAACUGCAUCUUAGUCAAGGCUGAGGUACUCUCAGUAGCCCUUAAAGCAUUACCUCCCCAAG
This 1048-nucleotide long non-coding RNA is filed under the name Homo sapiens (human). RNAcentral's name for it is "HSALNT0269826". The record is from RNAcentral. Lineage: Eukaryota; Metazoa; Chordata; Mammalia; Primates; Hominidae.